This 1610-nucleotide ribosomal RNA is filed under the name Micrastur gilvicollis. RNAcentral describes it as "16S ribosomal RNA". It matches the Rfam family "Bacterial large subunit ribosomal RNA". The record is from RNAcentral. Lineage: Eukaryota; Metazoa; Chordata; Aves; Falconiformes; Falconidae.
AGCACCUCUCUAGCCCAACCACCUACUCAAACUCCAUUAAAAAACCACCACAACUAUCAAACUAAAACAUUUACUGACUUAGUAUAGGCGAUAGAAAAGGCCCACUGGCGCAAUAGAGCUCCGUACCGUAAGGGAAAGCUGAAAUAAUAAUGAAAACUACAAGCAACAAACAGCAAAGAUAUACCCUUGUACCUCUCGCAUCAUGAUUUAGCAAGAACAACCAAGCAAGGCGAACUAAAGCUUGCCCUCCCGAAACCUAAGCGAGCUACCUACAAGCAGCUACCCAUUGAGCAAACCCGUCUCUGUAGCAAAAGAGUGGGACGACUUGUUAGUAGUGGUGAAAAGCCAACCGAGCUAGGUGAUAGCUGGUUACCUGCGAAGCGAAUCUAAGUUCACCCUUAAUUCUCCUCCAAGGAUACUCGAUUUAACCCCAAUGAACGAAUUAAGAGCGAUUUAAAGGAGGUACAGCUCCUUUAAAAAAGAAUACAACCUCUUGCAGCGGAUAACUCAAAGAAACUUCAACAUUGUAGGCCUUUAAGCAGCCACCAACAAAGAGUGCGUCAAAGCUCACCCACUUAAAAAUUCUAAAACGACACGACUCCCUUCAACAUAGCAGGUCACUCUAUUCUCAAUAGAAGAAUCAAUGCUAAAAUGAGUAACUUGGGAAACCCACCCCUUCUCCCUCUUAGGCGCAAGCUUACAUUUAAACAUUAUUAACACAUUCAACCGAUACUUUAACUCAAACAAGACUUAGUAUCAAAACACACCCUGUUAACCCAACUCCGGCGCGCUCUUUAGAAAGAUUGAAAUCUGCAAAAGGAACUAGGCAAUCACAAGGCCCGACUGUUUACCAAAAACAUAGCCUUCAGCAAACCAAGUAUUGAAGGUGAUGCCUGCCCAGUGACACCCACCCCAGCUGUUCAACGGCCGCGGUAUCCUAACCGUGCGAAGGUAGCGCAAUCAAUUGUCCCAUAAAUCGAGACUUGUAUGAAUGGCUAAACGAGGUCUUAACUGUCUCCUACAGAUAAUCAGUGAAAUUGAUCUUCCUGUGCAAAAGCAGGAAUAGACCCAUAAGACGAGAAGACCCUGUGGAACUUAAAAAUCAAUGGCCACCACAUACUAAAUCCCUAUCUAACAGACUCACUACUAGCAUAACACUGGCCCAUAAUUUUUCGGUUGGGGCGACCUUGGAGAAAAGCAGACCCUCCAAAAACAAGACCACCCCUCUUGACCAAGAACCACACCUCAACGUGCCAACAGCAACCAGACCCAAUAUAAUUGAACAAUGGACUAAGCUACCCCAGGGAUAACAGCGCAAUCUCCUCCAAGAGCCCAUAUCGACAAGGAGGUUUACGACCUCGAUGUUGGAUCAGGACACCCUAAUGGUGCAGCCGCUAUUAAGGGUUCGUUUGUUCAACGAUUAAUAGUCCUACGUGAUCUGAGUUCAGACCGGAGCAAUCCAGGUCGGUUUCUAUCUAUGAAGGACUCUCCCUAGUACGAAAGGACCGGGAAAGUGAGGCCAAUACUACAAGCACGCCUCUCUCUUAAGCAAUGACCCCAACUGAAUUGCCAAAAGACCAACCUACACCCCCCCCUCCUAGAAAAGGACC